UGACUGAUGUUGUUCAGGCCCAGGAGAAAGAGACAAAAAGUGAGAGCGAUGAAGACGACCAUAUUUUGAAUCUCGAGGGCCAGGGGAUUAUGGUUUUUGACCGAUCCCCUAGCACGGAGAGUCAUACUAUGUGGAUGCUUCGUCCAUCUACCCAGCCGCGGGAAGUUACAAUCGAUCUUCCUCCACUCCUCGUCGAGUCACUCGGCGUUGGCGCAGAAGUACUUGCCAAUUACCUGACCGCUCUCGCGGAAGCUGGAUCUCGAGAUCCCUCCCAUGUACCUUUUCUCCCGCAAGUGCUAUGUCGAAUCUGCGAACGCCAAAUCCCUUCUUGGUGGUUCGAGAAACAUUCAGAGCUAUGUUUGCAAGAGCAUGGGGCGGAGAUGGAGGUCCAGAUGGCGCAGGACAAUUUGAAUGAACAUCGCCAUUCCAUCGUUAAGGUCUUGGAUGCUUUAGAAGCUCGCAAAAGCAGGUCAGCUUCGGGAGACUCGAGCCCCUUCGCAGGGCCUAAAGCAGAGUAUAAGAAUUUACCCAUUGGACCCUCCAUACCUUCCUCAGGCUUGACUUCGGGCUCGUCAUCCUCUUCAGGAACACCACCACUCUCACGUGAUCCAUCAACAUCAGGUCGAGGACAUGUUCGCACACGCUCUUCCUUUGCUGUUCGACGACCGCUUGCGCGAAUCGUGGAAUUGAUUUUGGAUCUUUGUGAUACCGCCCUGGAAAUUAAUACCCCAGCACUUAAAGAAGCGCGAACCGAGGUCGGUGAGGAAAUUCGAACACAAUCUCCCCAGUCAGAAUCUCGGAUAUCACAGGUUUUGCAGUGGCAAUCUCCCAGUAGCAAUACUCUUGAUCAAGAACAGGGUUUGGCCGCGCUCUCCGCGGACACUGAGCGCUUUGCCCGUGCCAAGGUGGAUGCUGUGUUUCGCCAUCGUCAGAUUGUAGAAUAUAGUGAGCGUAUUCGCGUCGAAUUUACAGUUCUCGUUGAGGAGUGUGUUUCCGCAGCGAUGAGUAAAGCGGAACGCAUUGCUGCUGGGGAACUAAGCGAUUCAUCGGGUUCAUGCCAUAGCGUUGUGGGAGAUUUGCAGGAUGACGGCCAAUGCUCAACACGGUCUCAGGUCCUCGAUGCACCGUCCAACUUGUCAUCCCAGCCAUCCUCGUUGCCUGCUCCGUCUGCAAUAGCUACUACGUUACGAGUCGGCUCAGAACCUCUAUUACACUCUGCUUCCCA
Molecule: small RNA, 1225 nt
Filed under: Histoplasma capsulatum
Lineage: Eukaryota; Fungi; Ascomycota; Eurotiomycetes; Onygenales; Ajellomycetaceae
Also listed under: 1 other name
Description: hypothetical RNA
Source: RNAcentral